AACCUUAUGGACCUGCGGGCGUAUACCUGCGGAGGGAUCAUUACUGAGUGUAAAAACUCCCAAACCCAUUGUGAACAUACCACUGUUGCUUCGGCGGAUACGCCCCGGGCGCGCUCUUCACAGGGCGUGCCCCGGAACCAGGCGCCCGCCGGGGGACCGAAACUCUUGUUUUCUUAGGAUCUCUGAGUGUGAUUAUUAAAUAAAUCAAAACUUUCAACAACGGAUCUCAGAUCGGAAGAG
This 240-nucleotide unclassified non-coding RNA is filed under the name soil metagenome. RNAcentral describes it as "partial contains 5.8S ribosomal RNA, internal transcribed spacer 2, and large subunit ribosomal RNA". The record is from RNAcentral.